GCAGUCGUGGCCGAGUGGAUUAAGAGUGAUGGACUUGAAACUCCAUUGGGAUCUUCCCGCGCAGGUUCUGAAUCCUGCCAACUGCG
Non-coding RNA from Caerostris extrusa, 86 nucleotides. NCBI's taxonomy places the organism in Eukaryota, Metazoa, Arthropoda, Arachnida, Araneae, Araneidae. The record is from the annotation of a GenBank genome assembly.